UACGGGAGGCAGCAGUGGGGAAUAUUGCACAAUGGGCGCAAGCCUGAUGCAGCCAUGCCGCGUGUAUGAAGAAGGCCUUCGGGUUGUAAAGUACUUUCAGUCGUGAGGAAGGUGUUAAGGUUAAUAACCUUAGCAAUUGACGUUAGCGACAGAAGAAGCACCGGCUAACUCCGUGCCAGCAGCCGCGGUAAUACGGAGGGUGCGAGCGUUAAUCGGAAUUACUGGGCGUAAAGGGCACGCAGGCGGUUAAUUAAGUUGGAUGUGAAAUCCCCGGGCUUAACCUGGGAAUGGCAUUCAAGACUGGUUAGCUAGAGUCUUGUAGAGGGGGUAGAAUUCCAUGUGUAGCGGUGAAAUGCGUAGAGAUGUGGAGGAAUACCGGUGGCGAAGGCGGCCCCUGGGACAAAGGACUGACGCUCAUGUGCGAAAGCGUGGGGAGCGAAACAGGGAUUAGAUAC
This 455-nucleotide ribosomal RNA is filed under the name uncultured bacterium. Its description in RNAcentral is "bacterial SSU rRNA". It matches the Rfam family "Bacterial small subunit ribosomal RNA", at positions 340 to 785 of the family's 1533-position model. The record is from RNAcentral.